This 525-nucleotide ribosomal RNA is filed under the name uncultured bacterium. Its description in RNAcentral is "bacterial SSU rRNA". It matches the Rfam family "Bacterial small subunit ribosomal RNA", at positions 777 to 1304 of the family's 1533-position model. The record is from RNAcentral.
AAUAGAUACCCGGGUAGUCCACGCCGUAAACGAUGAGUGCUAGGUGUUGGGGGGUUCCACCCUCAGUGCCGAAGCUAACGCAUUAAGCACUCCGCCUGGGGAGUACGGUCGCAAGACUGAAACUCAAAGGAAUUGACGGGGGCCCGCACAAGCAGUGGAGCAUGUGGUUUAAUUCGAAGCAACGCGAAGAACCUUACCAAGACUUGACAUCCCGCUGACCUCUCUAGAGAUAGAGAUUCCCUUCGGGGCAGCGGUGACAGGUGGUGCAUGGUUGUCGUCAGCUCGUGUCGUGAGAUGUUGGGUUAAGUCCCGCAACGAGCGCAACCCCUAUGUUGUGUUGCCAUCAUUUGGUUGGGCACUUACAACAGACUGCCGGUGACAAACCGGAGGAAGGCGGGGAUGACGUCAAAUCAUCAUGCCCCUUAUGUCUUGGGCUACACACGUGCUACAAUGGCCGGUACAAAGCGUUGCCAACUCGCGAGAGGGAGCUAAUCGCAUAAAACCGGUCUCAGUUCAGAUUGGAGU